UCUCGGCCUCCCAAAGUGCUGGGAUUACAGGCUUGAGUCACCGCGCCCGGCCUGUUGCAUGUUUUUAAUCAUCAAAUUAAACUUCUUUCCACUUCCUUACCUUCUUUGGCAUCCUUUUGCAAGAUUUUUUAACCACCAGGCUUAAAGUAAUGAGGUCCCAGAGCACUUACUGGCUUCGAGUGCACUUUAUUUAAGCAGUUACUAGUUUAAAAGCACCUUUAAUAACACUGAGAUCAUCAUCAUCAAAUUGCCACCCAACAAGCCUAGCUUCUUGCAGAAAAGUUAACUUGGAUAACACAUGGCUAAGUUUUCUGACUAAUGCUGCAUCAGGUAGAAAUUCUUUAGUACUGAAGUCAAAAAACACUAAUUGCUUAAGAUUCUCAAAUACACCCAUGAAGGCAAGCCAUCCAUCACUGCUCACACAAUUUCCUGCCAAAUUCAACUGCUGGAAGUUUUUCAGAGGGUUCUUUCCAAAAAAUCCACCUGGGUAAAGAAAUAAGUAUAUUAGUUGGAAGAAAAAUUUUUUUAAAAAAAAAGAGAAAUAGGUUCUACAUUUAUUUUACAUACUUUUUUUUCCACUUUGAAAUGGUCAUGUUUGAACUAGUGCUUUGCCUCAGAAACAAAUUAUUAAUAUAAUUCUCUAUAGCUAGGGCAGUGAUUGUGAAUAUGGUCUAUUAUAUUUACAAAUUAUAUUUUCCUAGAGUAUAAGGGAAUCUGAUAAAUAGUGAUUCAUAGUGAGGUAGCAACAAUAUAUAAAUGAAUUACAUUUUUUUCCCUUUUCCUUAUUCCUAGGAAAUGAAAGUUUGCUUUAAAAUUGAUGUGUGUGAGAUGCAAUUAAAUAUUCAGUACUUGUUUUCAAAACGAGUCAAUCUUUGGCAAUAUUAGGUCGUUUCCUCUUCUGAAGCAGUAAACACUACCUAACUGUUGUUUCUUUGGGUAUGUUCCUAACUGUAAACUUGAGUAAGUGAGCCUCCUUCAGUAUCUAAAGAUUUGGGUGUUUUUGUUUAUCUGUUUAUAUGUAAACCUCCCAAGCCUCUUCAGGAAGUUCCUCCAUUCCUUACAGAAUAGGGCACCUAAAGUAUUUCCUACAGAGGGUAGGUGGAUAUUCUGUCUUUCUGAUAUACAAAGAAUGCAUACACACACACACACACACACAUAUCUCCUUUGUAUGUAUGUGUGUACAUACACACACACACAAAUAAUUUAGUUUCAUUCUUUAUCCCAUGUUACUAGUUUAAAUGGUACUGGAACUCAAGUGAGUCUUGCAAUAAGAAAAAAUACCUUUCUUUCAAGUCAUGUACCAUCAUGCAGAUUGGCCAGUAUACAACAUUAGGAUUUCACAAAGCUAGCUCUGUUAAUUAUGCAUAUUAAAUUAUGCAAAGCGUUAGCCCUACCCACCUACCUGGCCUUCUCUGGAUGACUAAGUUCACCUUGAAGUACAGAGUGGACAGUCAGGCAGACUGGACAAGGGAACUCUAUUACUUACAUGUUUAUAUUCCAGAGUAUCACACACAAAUUGCAGAAGAUGUAUGCCUGGCUUAUCGAUCUAUAUUACUCAGCUCCUCUGAGCUCAUCUUAGUCUUAGUGUACCUCACCCAACUUUGAAGGGUUAAUUUGUUGUAUAUUAAACUUUUUUCUUUGUGUUUCUUGGGAGAUGUGUAAUAUUAGAUAAUGUUCCAGAAACUGACCCUUAUGGAAAUGAAGGUCCAUGAUUCACUUUGGAUUCCAAGUAGGAAAAGAGGUUUUAAAAGUUCCUUUCCAUUGUCUCAGUGAGACCACUAAAGAGUUGAAGUUAAAGAAGGAAAGGUUCAGUGCUGUACAAUCUUAAGGUUAGCAAGCAAAGACUAAAAGCUAUCUGCUACCAGUAAUGAGGGCUUAAUGACAGAAAUGGACAGUCUUGUCUGACCAGCUUACCUGGGUGAGGUCAACCUAGUUAUGCACUGAAACUGUACCUUUACCCACUUUCAGUAAGUGUGUUUACCAGCUCCGUAGUGAGGAGAUCUGUGAGUUUCGUGUCUGAUGUCACUGUGUGGCCUUUUGUAGUUAGUUCAGUGCAACUAAGUACGUUCUAGUAUGUGUCUUUAGUCUAUGUCAGCCAAUGUUUUCAUCACCAUCAUAAGGUCUUGAGUUUUGAAAGCUCUUCAGGUUCUUCUUUACAGACACCUAAAGUGAUUAACCCUGCCUGACCGUGGUCAAGAUGCUAGCGGCUAAAGUGGGCAAAGCCAGGUUGAAAUGAUCACAGAGCAGUGACCUAGCUAUGGCCAUAAAGCCAAAAAUAACACUCUAAGGAAUAGAGGAGUUAUCUGGACCUGAAAGACUGCAGAGAGGAAAACCACCCCACCUGCCUGGACUGCUCAUUUCUGGACUGUUACAUGAGAGAGAAUCAAGUUCUACCUUCCGUAAGCCAUGGUAUAGCUGGGUCUCUGUUAUCAUAGCUUAGCCUGUGCCCAGCCCAAAUACUACAUAGGUCCUCGCUUUCCCCUCCUUCCUCCUCUGUUCCUUGGAGGGUGGCUUUCUCCCUGCUCUCUCUUCCAUCUCAUCUUCAUGUCCUUUCUGCCUUUGCCCCUCCUCCAUAUGCUUCCCAGCAUGGCAUGCACUCAGUCCAAAUGCUGGUUGCCAGUUGUGUGUCUAUUUAAAGCUCCUUCCCCAAAGAUCAACUUUUUUCUCCUUCUCAGCUAGCAGAAUAUAUUUUCACCACCUAAAAGGAAUUUAAAAAGAAUUUAAAGCCCAUUCCACCCUCAGAGGGUGAGCAAUUUAUACUGAUUAUCUACUAAGGUAUAAGGAUCUUAUCAUCAAUUUAAGAGAGUUUCUUAGAUAAUUAUUAGAAUGUGUGCUAGUGCAGGAACCAAGAACAAACAAUAUUUGUCAUAAGCCAAGGGCAUGCCUUUUGUUCAUUUAAUCUGCACUGCUUAUGUUAUGAGGAGCAGAAUAGAUCCGAGAGAAACAGAAUCUAUGACAUUUAGAGCCAUAGGCUGUAUGUGGGCUGUGUAGAGUGCAAAUGGCUUGAUUAGAAUUCCAGGAGAAAUCUCAAAUGCCCUGGGUAGAAGGCUUCUGAUUCUUGGGGGUUCCUGUAUCCCAAACACAACUCUUGUUUGUAUUGUCCUGUGGCUCACCUGAACCAGUACCAGAGCUCUCACUGUUUAUUCAUUCAGCAACAUCUUUAGUGCUACUAUGUGCCGCGGAUUAUGCUGGGUGCUGAGGAUAUGUGCAAACGACAGAUGUGGUCCCUAUCUCAUUGGGCUUACAAAACAGUGUGAAGACAUGCAUUAUCAAGUAAUUAGAUGGCUGGUGGUGCUAUGGUAGGUCAGGGUACCCUGGGAGCACACAAAAGUAAUAGGCUUUCCCACUCCACUUUGUUCCCAGAACACUUGCAACUGAGCUUAUAUGCUCCAGGAGGAAGACUGGAGGAUUCUUAGGAGAAAUGGAACUGCUCCCCAGGAAAAGGCCCUACAAAGAAGGGGCCAUUUUGCUUGCCCAAUCACCCCCUAGUGAAGUUAGCCUGUCAAAAAAUCACUGCCUCCCUUAGACACAGAACUCCCUAUCAACUUGUGUCUCACUCUCAAAUGUGAAGAGGACAGUACAGGAUUACCAGACAUUUGACAACAGCCUCCCACAAGGAAGACUGAGACUAAAAGCCAAACAACUCUCAAAGAAAUGAGGCACCAUAGAAAACAAGAAAAAUCAAACUCCAAAGACUGGGAUAUGUCAGAAGUGACCAGAAAUGAGUGGGCUGCCGUGCUGUGCGGACACUCACAGCCUGUGAAGAGGUCUAGUGAUGAGGAAGUGAGGCCUCCAGCCAACAGCCAGUGUUAACUUGCCAACCAUGUGAGAAGUUACCUUGGAAGGACAUCCUCCAGCAGCCCCUCUCAUGAGAGAGGUCAAGCCAGAGCUAACCUGCUGAACUCCCAAGUUCCUGAACCACAGAAACUGUGAGAUAAUGGUUAUUGUUUUAAGCCAUUAUGUUUUGAGGCCAUAUGUUAUGCACAGAUUGAAAACUAAUGCAGAUAGUAUGAGGGCUUCUUUCAUCAACUGCCUGAGGUUGGUGGUGUCUUCAGUCAUUUAUAUAGAUCUAUUUGUUUCUGGAUAAUAUUACAGUUAUUUAAAGAUAUUUUGUGACUCUAUUUAGAUACAGCUACAUUCACCUUUAUAUAUAGUGUUGAAUACCCAAUAAGUAACUUGAAAAUAUUUCCUGAUAUUGGAGGGAGGGGCGUUGCUGAAUUUCAGAAAGUUAAGGCUAGUAAGAACUAUGACUAAUAUAAUACAUCUUAUUGGAUACUGUGAAUGCUUUCCAUUUAAUUCUGUAGGUAAAGGGCUUACAACCUGAAGGAAGGCCGGUGUUUUAAGUCUUCUUACUCUAACAUGAAUGAAUUCCUUAGACAUACUUAUAUUUUUAAAAAAAGAGGAAGCAAAAUAAAAUAAGGGGGCAAAAUAAGCAAAGCCAACUCAAGAACUUUUUAAGGGCCAAAUCCAUUUAUCUUGGCUCGAUAUUUGUGUACCUACCUAAAAUUCUAAUCUCUGUAUCUGUGAGUCUCCAGUUUUUCAACCCAAGCUUGACGAGUUGUGGGACCUCCUCCAAAUGUUUCAACAGGCUGGUCAGGCUGCCUUGCACAUCACAGCCCCAGGGCAGCAUCAGUGCAGUGAGCUGUUCUAGCACGUUCAGCCUGUCAACUGGAAGAAACAAAGAGCAGUUCAGGGACUGGAUGAUCUCAAAACUGAGGAAGAACGAAGGGAUGUUGGGGAAGGAAUGAUCGUUAUGUUUGGUGGCUCUGUAGCCUACUCAAUCUGCAAUGAGAAUCUACUUAAUUUUUGGUUAUUUUUAUGGAAAGUGUUCAAGCUUAUACAAACAUUAUGCAGAAGAAUAUAAUGAAACUAUAUAUACUAAUAAGUCACCUUUCAAAAACAUUAAAUCAUGGGCAAUCUUGCUUAAUCCUGACCUAAUUCCCCCAGUAUUAUUCUAAAGCAAAUCAUGGACAGUAUGAAUCAGUUCUUUCCUUUUUUUUUCUUUUAACCAUAAUCACAUAUCACUGUCACACCUAAAAAUCCAUAUCACCAAUUCCUUAAGCAAAUUUGUCUUGCACAUCAGCUACUCUGACAGUUGCCUCCUCAAAGGAGGAAAGCAGGUGGGAUCCCGCCUCAAAGUGCAGUGAGCAUAUGUAAACUGGUGACUUAAAAGACAUGGGCCUGUGUUUGUUAAGGGCAGUUUAGGAAAGGCCUAAAUGAUUUUCCUAAGGAGGGUGCAUCUAGUAAGGCACACAUGGGUAUAAAAGACCUCAGGGCCCAGGCCAUGUAUUUCGACUACCCAGUACACAUAUUCAAGCAUCUGAUUUUGGCUGAAUUGUCAUUCUUACUCAGUUCAUGUAGAGCUUCUUUUCCAUCUUUUUCCAGGUAAUUUUCUGAUAAAUCAAGAAUGCUCAGUUUGACCAAAUUGUGAAGAUUCUGAGCUGGGAAAAAAAGUAAUCCAAAAUAAAAAAGUUUUCAGCAACCUUAUUGAUGGAACCGGCGGCCAUUAUCUUAAGUGAAAUAACUCAGAAACGGAAAGUCAAAUACCGUAUGUACUCACUUACAAGUGGGAGCUAAAUAAUGUGUACACGUGGAGAUAGAAAGCGGAAUAGACAUGGAGACUUGGAAAGGUGGGAGGGUGAGAGGGAGGCAAGGGAUGAGAAAUUAUCUAACUGAUAAUGGUGGUUACACUCAAAGCUCAGAUUUCACCACCACGAAAUAUAUCAAUGUAAAAAAACUGCACUUGAACCCCCAUAUCUAUAAAAAUAAAUAAUAGAUAAAUAAAUAAAGCAAAACUAUAUAUCUAACAUUUUCACAGUAUUCCUGGCUAUUAUUUCCAGCCAGGCUUGAUUAUAGCUGUAAACUAAAAAUCCUAGGCCCCCCUGCACCAAUGGAAUGCAUCCCCUCUGGGCUAAGGGGACCCCAGAAAAAAACUUAAACAAAGGACCUGGCCAUGACAGGAUGGGAGGUCAAACACACAUCAUCAUACUCCCUCUCUUUUGUGGUUUGAACACAACUCAUCAGCAUUACUGUUAACAUAGAGAUCAUAAGACUAACAGAACAGACUUUUUAUGGCAAUAAAAUACCAAGUUAUAAAUAGGACAUAAGACCAUGCCAGGCAAAGGCUAAGUCACGCAGCUCUACACUUAAAGAAUAAACUGUCCUAGGCUGGGCAUCGUGGCUCAUGCCUGUAAUCCCAACAGUUUGGAAGGUGG
Molecule: non-coding RNA, 6215 nt
Organism: Chlorocebus sabaeus (green monkey)
Lineage: Eukaryota; Metazoa; Chordata; Mammalia; Primates; Cercopithecidae
Source: RefSeq, a predicted model, not a curated record